Zeugodacus cucurbitae (melon fly) is the source of this 680-nucleotide long non-coding RNA. RefSeq lists it as uncharacterized. The transcript has 3 exons. NCBI's taxonomy places the organism in Eukaryota, Metazoa, Arthropoda, Insecta, Diptera, Tephritidae. The record is from RefSeq and is a predicted model, not a curated record.
AACAGAGAUGCCAAGUCGAUUUUUAUUUUAAUUUAAUAAUGUUAUUUUAUGUUUUAAAAUUGAGAAGGUGAAAUGAUUGCACAGAGAUUUAAAAAAGAAUAAUAAAAUUUGCAUAUACGUGUGUAUAUAAUAUGGUUGUUUAUAGAGCUAUUUUCUAAAAUGGCUUGGCUUUUAAUGGAGCGAUGACUCAUACGAAUUGAUUGGAGCAGUCUACGUACUGAAAUAUCAACAACACAGUGCAAUAAAUUGAAAAAUAAAUUAAAGGAUUUCAGUAAAGGCUUGCUUGAAAUAGAGCGUGAGUUCGUGUAUAUAAAUUCAAAAUUAUUAAAUGAGGCUUGAAUUUGCAUAUAAAGUGCGCUGAAACGUAUACUUGUAUUUUUUAACGCGUGUUCGCAUGUUAUGGCGUUCCACCAUUACGGGGACAGUCCCGAAAAAUUUACCCUAAUUUUAAUAUAACUUAAAGAAACAAUUUCAAGAAUUAUAUCCUUAGAGUAAAACCCGGCUAAAAAAGGUAAGAAAAACUCAAUGACGACAUUGACAUAGUUCAGCGAAUAAAAAGACAGCGGCUGCGCUGACUAGGUUAUGUUGCUCGAAUGGACGAAAGCACUCCAGCUUUGAAAGUAUUCAAUGCAGUACGCGCCGUAGGUAGCCGUGGAAGGGGAAGACCUCCACUCCGUUGG